This 254-nucleotide ribosomal RNA is filed under the name uncultured bacterium. RNAcentral's name for it is "partial 16S ribosomal RNA". It matches the Rfam family "Bacterial small subunit ribosomal RNA", at positions 524 to 776 of the family's 1533-position model. The record is from RNAcentral.
UACAGAGGUGGCAAGCGUUGUUCGGAAUUACUGGGCGUAAAGGGCGCGUAGGCGGUCUUUUAAGUCUUGUGUGAAAUCCCUCGGCUCAACUGAGGAACUGCACGGGAUACUGGAAGACUUGAGUUCGGGAGAGGGAAGCGGAAUUCCGGGUGUAGCGGUGAAAUGCGUAGAUAUCCGGAGGAACACCGGUGGCGAAGGCGGCUUCCUGGACCGAUUACUGACGCUGAGGCGCGAAAGCUAGGGGAGCAAACAGG